RNAcentral lists this long non-coding RNA (1095 nucleotides) under Heterocephalus glaber (naked mole-rat). RNAcentral describes it as "lncRNA (ENSHGLG00100050824.1)". The record is from RNAcentral. Lineage: Eukaryota; Metazoa; Chordata; Mammalia; Rodentia; Bathyergidae.
CUCCCGAGGUACUGAAUAAAAGGUGCAGUAAGCUGGGGGCUUGUGUCUCCGCUGCCCAGAGCAGCACUGAUCAAACCCAAAGCUCAGCUUCUUCUCAGUCUCAUUUGUCUACCUUUCCUGUAAUUUGCCUUAUGCUGCCGUGGCUCGCAGCGGACUAGAACUUACUGCAGAAGUUCUGACACAGUCUAGCUCUGUAGGUCAGGCUGGCCUUGAACUCAGAACUCAUGCCAUUGUCCUGCCUCUGCCUCCUGAGCACUGGGAUGACAGGGUGCACCACUCUGCCUGGGAUCAAACUCGGGUCCUUGCGCUUUUGAGGCAGGCAGCAGAACCACUGAGCUAAAUCCCCAGCCUUCUCCGAUUUAUUGAAAUAGAUCGAACUCGGGGACCCUGCACUUGCAAGGCAGGCUGUGGAACUACUGAGCUAACUCCCCAGCCCAAAAGGAUGACUUCUAACAAAAUGACUGGGUUAGAGGCUUUGAGAUGUUGGCCAUCACCUAAGAGAACAGGUAAGAUUGAAGUUGAUAGAGACUGAAGGUAAACUUAGCCCAAGAGCUGCUCCUUCUACCUCCUUGCUGCUCAGAGGUGGCUGGGGGCACAUGGACUCUGAGUCCCUAGUCUCUUCCCCUCCAAUUCAGGGUCAGAUAAGACCAACAACCACUGGUGCACACCUAUUAUCCCACCACUCAGGGAGGCUGAAUCAGGAGGAUUGCAAGUUGGACCCCAGUAUGGGCAACUUAGAGAGACCUUGUCUCAAAAUUUUAAAAGAGGCUGGGGACAGAACUCAGUGUAAAGGCCCUGGGUUCCAUACCAGCAAGGAAAAACGAAAACCAAAACAACACAAAAGUAAAUGCAGAGGCCGAGGACUUAGCUCAGUGGUUUUGUCACCUGCUGCGCAAGUGCAGGGACCCAAGUUUGAUCCCUGAUACAAAAAAAAAAGUAAAUGCAGGGGCCGGGGAUUUAGCUCAGUGGUACCAGUGCCUGCCUGGUACAAGGUCCUGAGUUUGAUCGCUUGUACAGAAAAAAAAAAAAGUAGGCAUUGCUGAUUGCAGGAGAAUUGUAAAAAUCAAGAUGGAGAAGGGGCCAGGGAUUUAGCUC